GACGAACGCUGGCGGCGUGCUUAACACAUGCAAGUCGAACGGAAAGGCCCUGCUGUUGUGGGGUGCUCGAGUGGCGAACGGGUGAUUAACACGUGAGUAACCUGCCCUUGACUUUGGGAUAACUUCAGGAAACUGGGGCUAAUACCGGAUAGGAGCUCCUGCUGCAUGGUGGGGGUUGGAAAGUUUCGGCGGUUGGGGAUGGACUCGCGGCUUAUCAGCUUGUUGGUGGGGUAGUGGUAUACCAAGGCUUUGGCGGGUAGCCGGCCUGGGUGGGGGACCGGGCCCAAUAGGACUGAGAGACGGCCCAGAGUCGAAUGGGAGGCAGCGGGGGGGAAUAUGGCACAGUGGGCGGACGCCUGAUGCAGCAACGCCGCGUGCGGGAUGACGGCCUUCGGGUUGUAAACCGCUUUCGCCUGAGACGAAGCGUGAGUGACGGUAAUGGAUAAAGAAGCACCGGCUAACUACGUG
RNAcentral lists this ribosomal RNA (468 nucleotides) under uncultured bacterium. RNAcentral describes it as "partial 16S ribosomal RNA". It matches the Rfam family "Bacterial small subunit ribosomal RNA", at positions 28 to 507 of the family's 1533-position model. The record is from RNAcentral.